RNAcentral lists this ribosomal RNA (322 nucleotides) under uncultured bacterium. RNAcentral's name for it is "bacterial SSU rRNA". It matches the Rfam family "Bacterial small subunit ribosomal RNA", at positions 202 to 507 of the family's 1533-position model. The record is from RNAcentral.
AGAGUGGGGACCUUCGGGCCUCACGCGAUGAGAUGAGCCGAUGCCGGAUUAGCUAGUUGGCGGGGUAAAGGCCCACCAAGGCGACGAUCCGUAGCUGGUCUGAGAGGAUGAUCAGCCACACUGGAACUGAGACACGGUCCAGACUCCUACGGGAGGCAGCAGUGGGGAAUAUUGGACAAUGGGGGCAACCCUGAUCCAGCCAUGCCGCGUGUGUGAAGAAGGCCUUCGGGUUGUAAAGCACUUUUGUUGGGGAAGAAACCGGCCGGGUUAAUACCCUGGUUGAAUGACGGUACCCAAAGAAUAAGCACCGGCUAACUUCGUG